AAUUUCUAUUUUUUUUUAAUGCAAUCUUUUAAUUCUUCUUUGAUGCAAUACAUUAAAUCCUCCUUUAUGCAAUUUGUGUAGGCUUCAAUCUCCCUAAGCACUAUUUUCAUCCAUUUUAAUUUAUGCAAAAAUUCUCCUUUGAAUAGUUAAACAUUUCAUGAAUUCAUAAAUACUCUUUGAUUUCUAAGUACUUGUCUUUUUA
This 202-nucleotide long non-coding RNA is filed under the name Phoenix dactylifera (date palm). RNAcentral's name for it is "long non-coding RNA (PDAC_LNC008967)". The record is from RNAcentral. Lineage: Eukaryota; Viridiplantae; Streptophyta; Magnoliopsida; Arecales; Arecaceae.